GAUGAACGCUGGCGGCGUGCCUAAUACAUGCAAGUCGAGCGGUAAGGCUCCUUCGGGAGUACACGAGCGGCGGACGGCUGAGUAACGCGUAGGAACGUACCCCAAACUGAGGGAUAACUGCUCGAAAGAGUAGCUAAUACCGCAUGUGCUCUACGGAGUAAAGCUACGGCGGUUUGGGAACGGCCUGCGUACGAUUAGAUUGUUGGUGAGGUAAUGGCUCACCAAGUCGACGAUCGUUAGCUGGUCUGAGAGGAUGAUCAGCCAGACUGGGACUGAGAACGGCCCAGACUCCUACGGGAGGCAGCAGUAGGGAAUUUUCCACAAUGGACGAAAGUCUGAUGGAGCAACGCCGCGUGCAGGAUGAAUGCCUUCGGGUUGUAAACUGCUUUUGUACGGGAGCAAUAAGGUCUACGAGUAGAUUGAUGAGAGUACUGUACGAAUAAGCAUCGGCUAACUCCGUGCCAGCAGCCGCGGUAAGAUAGCGUA
RNAcentral lists this ribosomal RNA (486 nucleotides) under uncultured bacterium. RNAcentral describes it as "bacterial SSU rRNA". It matches the Rfam family "Bacterial small subunit ribosomal RNA", at positions 28 to 529 of the family's 1533-position model. The record is from RNAcentral.